GAUGAACGCUGGCGGCGUGCCUAAUACAUGCAAGUCGAGCGAACAGACGAGGAGCUUGCUCCUCUGACGUUAGCGGCGGACGGGUGAGUAACACGUGGAUAACCUACCUAUAAGACUGGGAUAACUUCGGGAAACCGGAGCUAAUACCGGAUAAUAUAUUGAACCGCAUGGUUCAAUAGUGAAAGACGGUUUUGCUGUCACUUAUAGAUGGAUCCGCGCCGCAUUAGCUAGUUGGUAAGGUAACGGCUUACCAAGGCAACGAUGCGUAGCCGACCUGAGAGGGUGAUCGGCCACACUGGAACUGAGACACGGUCCAGACUCCUACGGGAGGCAGCAGUAGGGAAUCUUCCGCAAUGGGCGAAAGUCUGACGGAGCAACGCCGCGUGAGUGAUGAAGGUCUUCGGAUCGUAAAACUCUGUUAUUAGGGAAGAACAAAUGUGUAAGUAACUAUGCACGUCUUGACGGUACCUAAUCAGAAAGCCACGGCUAACUACGU
This 496-nucleotide ribosomal RNA is filed under the name uncultured bacterium. RNAcentral describes it as "partial 16S ribosomal RNA". It matches the Rfam family "Bacterial small subunit ribosomal RNA", at positions 28 to 506 of the family's 1533-position model. The record is from RNAcentral.